GGCCUUCAUUGUGUAGCCCCUGUAUAGUUAACUGUUCCAUGACCCUGUUUCAGGCCUCGUCACACUACCUACUGUCCGCUCAUUCCCGGCUGUUAGAGACUGAAUGUUUGUGUCCUUACCAUAUUCAUAUAUGGAAAUGCCAUCCUCCAGAGUGAUGCUAUUAGAAGGUGAGCCACCGGGAGAUGAUUAGGUCACAAGGGUGAGGCCCUCAUGAAUGGGAUUAGUGUUCUUAUAAACAAGACUGCUGAGCGCUCUCUUGACCCUGCCAUUAUGUGAGGGCAUAGUGAGAAGACAACCAUAUAUGAACAAGGAAGUGGCCCGUCACCACACACAGAAUCAUCUGCCAGUGUCUUGAUCCUGUAUUUCCCAGAUUCCAGACUGUGAGAAAUAAAUGUUUGUUUUUUAAGCCAUCCUGUCUAUGGUACUUUUUGUCGUAGCAGCCUGAAUGGACUAAAGCACUGGCCGUUAAUAACUCUCAGCUAGCUACACAAGGCAAAGUGGAAAGUAGGAAAAAAAAAUACUCUGCUCAGCCUCUGAAAUUAAUCCAGACCAUCUUCCAUUUGCACACUUCAUUCUUUUUCUUGUUCCUCACAGUCCUGUGUUUGGCUUUUGCUCUUCUCCACCCGGUUUGUGGAGAUUGACAGCAAGUCUGUGCUCACUCUCCCACCUUGUCUCUGCACUUGUCUCGUCAGGCCUACGCUGUGCAGGUAUUCCUGCCCAGGUUUUGAGCUGACCAGAGAAAAUCACCAUCACAAUGACCAAAUCAAACAGCUGCAUGGGACCUAAGAGGUGAGUUCGUCCUAACUUUUAUUUUACACAGGAAACUGAACCCCAAAAUGUAUAAGCCAUGCUGUACUCUUGGCCUCUCUGUUUUUGCUAUCAAAAAGAAGCAUGUCUUGUCCCAUAGGUCCUUCUAAAAUGUUCAGAGUAUAUGUCAGGUAACAAAUGUAGAUUUUAAUCUAUUUCAAAAUACCCUUGAUAGACUGUCAAUAUUCCUGUGACUUUCUGGAAAUGAAACAGGAAAUCAAAUUUUAAAAAAGCCCAGGGUCCAAUUUUCAAUAUCUAAUCCAGUUUCUUCAGGAAGUGUUAGCUAUGUGAUUUCUAUUACCAUCAAAAACAGUGAUACAGUGUGAUACUGACCAUCUGUUUAGGAAAUGGCAGAUACACUCGGAAAAUCCAGAGUAACAGGAACUCAGAACCGUCAUCGGUUAGAGAGAUGAUAAGUCCAAGAAGAUGCCACUUGGGUCAGGUGUGGAUGAAGCGUUGUUAGGUGGGCCAUCUGAACUUCAUGCAUAACUGUCUUCUAGACGUGUGAUAACCUUGUGUCCCUUGGUUGUCUGACCUGCAGU
This 1349-nucleotide long non-coding RNA is filed under the name Bos indicus x Bos taurus (hybrid cattle). Its description in RNAcentral is "lncRNA (ENSBIXG00000028148.1)". The record is from RNAcentral. Lineage: Eukaryota; Metazoa; Chordata; Mammalia; Artiodactyla; Bovidae.